Gallus gallus (chicken) is the source of this 3883-nucleotide RNA transcript. It is a transcript of the gene named sideroflexin 4, with no coding region annotated. Lineage: Eukaryota; Metazoa; Chordata; Aves; Galliformes; Phasianidae. The record is from RefSeq and is a predicted model, not a curated record. The transcript is spliced from 15 exons.
AGCGCCUUCCGGUGCCGCGGCCCCCAUGGACGCCAACCUGCGGCUCUGGAGGGCGGAGGGCCCGUCUUUUUGGCAGAGGCUUCUUCUCUGGGCGGACGUCUUAGAUCCCCUGCACCUCCUGAAGUCCGCGGAUGAAAUAAGAAAAGCCCGGUUAUUAUUAGAAAGCAGUGAAAAGACCCAAAGUGAGCCCAUACAGAAUCAUCAGACAAAACAAGCCCUCCUGCUCAGCCUGGCCAGUGUACAUCCUGACACAGGCAGGAUAAUUCCUGUUUUCUUCAGACCUCCAGCUUUCCUGCCUGUAACUCUUCCAUUGGUCAUUUCUUCGUCGCUUCAGCUGCAGGCAAAACAAAUUUUCCUUUGUCAGUUUGCAUUUCAUGCAUACACCACAGGAUUCACCCUAUUAAAUGGAAACUGUACCACUAAGGAUGAAGAGAACUCGCUUCACCAAAAGCAAAUCCUGUUUGGCGUGGGAGCCGUUUCCUAUGCAGCACUUCUAGGUGCUUUUCCUUUUGUCUUUAUGGACCGGUACACGUUGAAGAGUCCAAUAACACAUCUAAUUGUCAAAAAGCUUCUACCUGCUCCUCUUUUUGGCUUGAUGAGUGCUUUUACUGUGGUAGCGGUGAGGAGCCCAGAAUUUGAGAAUGGAAUUGAAGUGAUGGACAGGAGUGGCAAGGUUUUAGGAGUGUCACAGAAGGCUGGUGAGAAGGCCGUUAAAGAAACAGCAUUAUCAAGAGGAAUCUUGUUUGGGACAACAUUCUUCCUGCCAGCUGCACUUAUGUACUUUGUGGAAAGAGCGAACACUGCAAGAACUCCACGUGCUUUGGCUUCAGUGAGGAUGCUUCUGAUUAUGGCAGUAUUGGCAGGGAUGUUACCAGCUUCAUUUGGCAUGUUCCCACAGUGUGGUGAGAUAAAACGAGAAGAACUCGAAGCAGAAAUUCUGUCGUCUACAGAAGAAACAGUAUUAUUCUACAAUAGAGGAAUUUAGAGAUUGGCUUUAGUAUCUGAAUAUGGGCUCUGCUUAAAGUGAAUUCUGAUGUCAGCUGAAUUUGUUGAGAGACUCAAUGACUCAACAAAUGAUCAACGUGUGGUGGCACACAAACCAGAAGCGGUGUAUGACGCUGUGGUGUAUAAACAGGCAGACUUUGCAAAAUGCUUUUGCAAACCCUACCCCACAGAGAGAAUUCUCUGGAAGAUAAAGGCAAGCACCUGACAUCUAGAUUGGCAGCCUGGGUGAUUCAGCUGUUUCCCAAAUCAAGGUAGGGAAAGUACAUUGCUGACAAGGCCCUGGCUUCCUUGAUCUUGAAAUGAAGACACGAUGAGACUGGAAAUAGAACCAGCUGGAUCAGACACCUGAUAGUCCAAAGGGGUAUGCAAGGGGACCACGAUGGGACAAGCAGCAGUGCCUUAUGUUUGAGGGACUGAAGAACAGAGGCAAUGCCCACAGGAGGACCUUUGCUUUUGUAACUUGGAAUAGAUGAACAGCACACCAGCACAGGACAAGUCUGCCUCCUACUUUCAGCACUGUCUACUGUCUUAAGUGGCAACAUAUUAGUAGUGGAACCGGUUUAAGGUGUGGUAAAGUACAAUAGAUAGAAGCCUUCAGCUUCUAGGAAAACCUGAGUCUCGGUGCAAUAUGGUGACAGUUCCCCACCUACCCAGCUUGUCAUCCUGAAAUUCAGGAAUAUAUAAUGAGGCUUCAGUGUCAUUUUAAAGUAGCUUCAAAUAAAUAAUAAGUGAGCCACUCCUACGUUUGGAAAUACUGAGAUCAAAGCAUUUCCUCUGUUGGAGCUGGUGUCCCUGUGGUUAUCCUACAAGCCUGUAACGUUGCCAUACUGCUUUUCCCUGCAGGCUGCAGUGGAGGAAGGAAAGAAGUAGGUGAGGAGAGAAUCCUGUGCUGCCUAUAGCUGCUUCCCUACCAGCAACACCACGUGCUGUGCAGUGCAGCUCAGAAAAGCACUGUGGUCCCAUCUUUGGAGCCUCCCCAGAGAUUUUAAAGACAUCUUCAGCCGCUCCUCUCGAGGUUACUCACCAUUACACUGCUCUUAUUCAGAACAUUCCCCCCCAGUAUUUGCCUGCAGAAGAAACAGGGAAACCGGUUUAUCCCAGGAACCAAAACCAUAAGGAUGACAGCAUUAGAAAUGACACACAUUUUGCCUUGAAGGACUAACUUAAUUAGCAAAACUGCAACCAGAAGGAUUGGUUGCUAAUCCUGCUCUCCUUUAUAAGCUUUUGGCUUUGUUCACCAUCUACCUUUGUUUCUGCAAGCACAGUGAAGAUCUGGUGAGAUUUUAGAGUACAGAAACCACAAGGGCAAUGGGUAAGGCAGGGAGUACCUGUCUUCCCCCUCACCUGAGGAAGGAACUGUACUGCAAUUUUCAAGAGUCAGAAAGCCUCACUUUCAGCCAAGCGCUGCCUUUGGGAGGAGCAUCUCUCAGCAUGUUAACAGGAACUGUCAGCCAUCGUUCCACACUGAUCCAAGAACAGAAAGGCAGUAAGAUGAGAAGGUCUGAAUGAAAAUCUCAUUUUGCACAGUCUUUGCUUCUAGGAGGAGGAAGUAAAACUGUCAUCUGACUGUUCCCAACCGACACCAGCACACCCAAAGUGUCAGCUGGUGUGCAUCCUCGGGAGAGGGAAGUGCAGAAUAACGCAAAACUUCUCCCUGAGCUUCCAGGCUGAUGCUUUAUUCUAACAUGCACCUGGGAGGAAACAAUUAUGAAGCACAUCUAAGCAGAUUAGGACUAUUCUCUCAAAGUGCUGAAGCUGAGGGAGGCCAAUAUUAUUAUUAUUAUUAUUAUUAUUUAACCAAGACAAUCAACAGAAGAUGAUAAAACUCUUUGAACCUGUAGCAGCAGUGCAUUUUCCACCCAAGCAGAAGCCUCAUUUCCAACCCCAGCAUUGCACAACCAAGAGCUACAGCUUGUGACUACUCAGGAAUAAAUUCACGUAAAUUAAAGGCUAGGCUGGUCAGGAUUUUUGCUUUUAAUAGACAUAAGCAUGCUAUGAGUCCAGUUCUUUAAGUGCAAAAAUUAUAGUUCAUUUGUGUCACACAAAUGUUAGAAUACAAGAUCUAAAACUGAGGUCGUCUCACUUUUAAAAGAAAGCAAAAAAAAAAAAAGCAUUAAACAUUGACUUUGUGUCUGAGCUUCUGGGCUUUUUGUGGCUGUCCAUAACCCCACACCACCUUAAUGAGGACACCUCCAGAGCUUUCUGUUAGAAAGAAACUGAAUUUCUCUGCAGUUACAGCGUGCCAUUAUGGUAUCUGACAAAAGUUCAGGUUUUUCUCAGCAGACUUUAAAGCAGAUCCUGAGAGUUUUCAGUGUGAUUUUGCAGUUGUGCUGCUCUAACUGUUAUAGAAGCCCUGGAAUAGAAAGAGCAGUACUGAAGAGCCAUUACAAUGAGAAAAAUAAACAAAACCAAACCCACCACAGCACCUUCAUGGCCAAAUGGGGAAAAAGCUGCAGAGCACUUAGAGGUAAAUGAAGGCAACUUGGUCUCAGAUAAAACAAAAGACACCGCUCUCCUGGGUGCAGAAUUUAAACCACAGAGUAAGUAAAGUAAAAUUUUAUACCCCUGAAAAUAGGGGAUUAUUCUGAAGCACUUCCAUUUACUGACUGUAGUAGCUAGCCACUUUAUACGUAGAUGCCACAUUCCUUACCCACACUAAAACAGAAAUUCAUUCUUCUUAACGUAGUAUGAUACGUAGCAAAAGGACAACCCUUUUCCAAACCAAUAUUGCUUGCACAGUUAGCGAUGACCUCUAACGAUUUCAAAACAGCAAACAUCCAAUUAUUUAACCACAUAAAUAUCGAUUGCUAAAGUUUUAAUCAGAAGUAUAAAAUCUCUAGGUAAAACCACAUGCUACAGCCCAUCUGUACAAAGGCCA